RNAcentral lists this microRNA precursor (122 nucleotides) under Gossypium hirsutum (cotton). Its description in RNAcentral is "MIR7504 microRNA precursor family". It matches the Rfam family "MIR7504 microRNA precursor family". Lineage: Eukaryota; Viridiplantae; Streptophyta; Magnoliopsida; Malvales; Malvaceae. The record is from Rfam by way of RNAcentral. RNAcentral also lists the same sequence under 1 other name.
AAUAGUUUUAUGCCACAUCAGUAUUUUUAUCCUGAAUUUUAGUAUUUUAAUUUGGAUUUGAUUUUUUUCAGGAUAAAAUCCUGAAAUUCAGGAUAAGAGUACUGAUGUGGCAUAAAACUAUU